This 1536-nucleotide ribosomal RNA is filed under the name Klebsiella pneumoniae. Its description in RNAcentral is "bacterial SSU rRNA". It matches the Rfam family "Bacterial small subunit ribosomal RNA". RNAcentral also lists the same sequence under 2 other names. The record is from RNAcentral. Lineage: Bacteria; Pseudomonadati; Pseudomonadota; Gammaproteobacteria; Enterobacterales; Enterobacteriaceae.
UUGAAGAGUUUGAUCAUGGCUCAGAUUGAACGCUGGCGGCAGGCCUAACACAUGCAAGUCGAGCGGUAGCACAGAGAGCUUGCUCUCGGGUGACGAGCGGCGGACGGGUGAGUAAUGUCUGGGAAACUGCCUGAUGGAGGGGGAUAACUACUGGAAACGGUAGCUAAUACCGCAUAACGUCGCAAGACCAAAGUGGGGGACCUUCGGGCCUCAUGCCAUCAGAUGUGCCCAGAUGGGAUUAGCUAGUAGGUGGGGUAACGGCUCACCUAGGCGACGAUCCCUAGCUGGUCUGAGAGGAUGACCAGCCACACUGGAACUGAGACACGGUCCAGACUCCUACGGGAGGCAGCAGUGGGGAAUAUUGCACAAUGGGCGCAAGCCUGAUGCAGCCAUGCCGCGUGUGUGAAGAAGGCCUUCGGGUUGUAAAGCACUUUCAGCGGGGAGGAAGGCGGUGAGGUUAAUAACCUCAUCGAUUGACGUUACCCGCAGAAGAAGCACCGGCUAACUCCGUGCCAGCAGCCGCGGUAAUACGGAGGGUGCAAGCGUUAAUCGGAAUUACUGGGCGUAAAGCGCACGCAGGCGGUCUGUCAAGUCGGAUGUGAAAUCCCCGGGCUCAACCUGGGAACUGCAUUCGAAACUGGCAGGCUAGAGUCUUGUAGAGGGGGGUAGAAUUCCAGGUGUAGCGGUGAAAUGCGUAGAGAUCUGGAGGAAUACCGGUGGCGAAGGCGGCCCCCUGGACAAAGACUGACGCUCAGGUGCGAAAGCGUGGGGAGCAAACAGGAUUAGAUACCCUGGUAGUCCACGCCGUAAACGAUGUCGAUUUGGAGGUUGUGCCCUUGAGGCGUGGCUUCCGGAGCUAACGCGUUAAAUCGACCGCCUGGGGAGUACGGCCGCAAGGUUAAAACUCAAAUGAAUUGACGGGGGCCCGCACAAGCGGUGGAGCAUGUGGUUUAAUUCGAUGCAACGCGAAGAACCUUACCUGGUCUUGACAUCCACAGAACUUUCCAGAGAUGGAUUGGUGCCUUCGGGAACUGUGAGACAGGUGCUGCAUGGCUGUCGUCAGCUCGUGUUGUGAAAUGUUGGGUUAAGUCCCGCAACGAGCGCAACCCUUAUCCUUUGUUGCCAGCGGUUAGGCCGGGAACUCAAAGGAGACUGCCAGUGAUAAACUGGAGGAAGGUGGGGAUGACGUCAAGUCAUCAUGGCCCUUACGACCAGGGCUACACACGUGCUACAAUGGCAUAUACAAAGAGAAGCGACCUCGCGAGAGCAAGCGGACCUCAUAAAGUAUGUCGUAGUCCGGAUUGGAGUCUGCAACUCGACUCCAUGAAGUCGGAAUCGCUAGUAAUCGUAGAUCAGAAUGCUACGGUGAAUACGUUCCCGGGCCUUGUACACACCGCCCGUCACACCAUGGGAGUGGGUUGCAAAAGAAGUAGGUAGCUUAACCUUCGGGAGGGCGCUUACCACUUUGUGAUUCAUGACUGGGGUGAAGUCGUAACAAGGUAACCGUAGGGGAACCUGCGGUUGGAUCACCUCCUU